This 1904-nucleotide long non-coding RNA is filed under the name Sorghum bicolor (sorghum). Its description in RNAcentral is "long non-coding RNA (SBIC_LNC016010)". The record is from RNAcentral. Lineage: Eukaryota; Viridiplantae; Streptophyta; Magnoliopsida; Poales; Poaceae.
UUCCAUAUGACACAUGUCAUCUAGGAGUUCUAUUGGGGUGCGUCCAAAUGGAUUUCUUAGCAUAUGGUAUGUUCCAUGCAAACCGUGCACCUAUUUUGCAUCAAGAUUAGCACUAUCUCCAAACAAAUCGAACCGACCUUCCACUUGAGCCUCUUCACCUAGGAUUAUCAUCGGGUGCUUCCAUAAUGGUUUCUAAGCCUAUGGUGCAUUAUGCGCAAACCAUGCACCAAUCUUGCACCUAAACUAACACUGUCUCCAAACAGAUUGAAGCGAGAUUCCAUAUGACACACAUGAUCUAGAAGUUCUAUCGGGUGCGUCCAAAUUGAUUUCUGAGAAUAUGGUACGUUCCAAGCAAAUCGUACACCUAUCUUGCAUCAAGAUUAGCACUAUCUUCAAACAGAUCGAACCGAGCUUUCACAUGAGCCUCUUCACCUAGGAGUACCAUCGGGAACUUCCACAACGAUUUCUGAGCCUAUGGUGCACUGGGCAAAAACCAUGCAACUAUCUUGCACCGAGACUAAUACUAUCUCCAACUGGGUCGAAUCGAGAUUCCAUAUGAUACACGUCAUCUAGUAGUUCUAUCGGAUGCAUCUACAAUUCCAUCAAAUUUGUCCGAGUUGAUUUCUGAGCAUAUGGUAUGUUCCAUGCAAACCAUGCACCUAUCUUGCAUCAAGAUUAGAACUAUCUCCAAACAGACAGAACCAAGAUUCCACUUGAGCCUCUUCACCAAGGAGUACCAUCGUGUGCGUCCAAUAUAGUUUCUUAGCCUAUGGUGCAUUCACUACAAGAAAUCUGGGCUUCUAUGACGAUUACCAGAUGACAGAACACCUAUCUGUCAUAAAUGCAGGCUGUUUAUGACGACUGUUUAGUGGAUGACAAAAGUUUAUGACCAAACUAUGUCUUCGUCAUAAACAACGUCAUAGCAUCUAGCUGCAUGGGAUUUAUGACGAUAGAUUGUGACAAUAGUUAGUUGUCAUAAAAUAUAAAUCUAUUACAAUUAUUUUUAAAAUAUCUUGUUAUCCCACAUGGUCAUUGGUGCACACUAUCAUAUGUCCUAGGUAAAUUAUUUCCGUCCUAGUUAACUCCUAGUCCCACGUAGGAUUGGAGGAAGAAAAUUUCAAAAGAAAACACCAAAAUAUUAGUAUUUGUGAUGAUAGAUUGUAACAAUAAUUGAUCAUUAUAAAUAUAAAUCUAUUAUAGUUAUUUUUAAAAUAUUAUGUUAUCCUCUUUAGUCGUUGGUGCACACUACCGUAUGCCCUAGUUAGAGCCCCAUGUAGGAUUGGAUGAAAAAAAUUCAAAAAAAAACACCAUAGUUAUAGCCCCAUAUAGGAUUGGAUAAAAAAAUCAAAAAAAAACACAAAAAUGUCGGCAGCCACAGGGUUUGAACCUAGGACCUGCGACCAUUUCAUCCUCAGCCAACUGCGCUAGCCACUGAAGACCAAUCCCUUUUCUGCUAGAGGGGAGUGUUCGACACUUUUUGUAUUCUGGAGUUUGGAUGCUGGCAAAAAGAGAUCCAAAACUUGGCAUCUCAGUCUCCUGACCACAUUCGCAGGCAUCAGUUAGAGCCCCAUGUAGGUUUUUCAAUAUGUAUUUUUUGUUUAUUCAUGACUUUUGUAGCUGGGACCAUCUAGGGUCCGGUCAAAGUAUUUUUUUCUGAAAAAUCCAAUGUUUGACUUGGUCAAACUAGCCAAUAAAAUACCUCAAAUAAAAAACUUUUGAAUACAAAGAAGUUAGACCUCACCAAGGUCUACCUUUGAUACAUAGUACAAUUUUGCAUUUAGAAAAGUUCUAGUAAACUCUAGUCACAUUUUUCAAAAAUCCAAGGCGUGACUUGGUCAAACCUGGUCAAACAAGGCACUAAAUGACCUCAAAUGAAAAUCUUUUGAAUACAAGGUAGUUAGAGC